CCUACGGGUGGCAGCAGUGAGGAAUAUUGCGCAAUGGAGGAAACUCUGACGCAGCAACGCCGCGUGAGUGAAGAAGGCCCUCGGGUUGUAAAGCUCUGUCAGGUGGGAAGAAACCUCCUUGAGUUAAUGGCUCAGGGAAUUGACGGUACCACCAAAGGAAGCACCGGCUAACUCCGUGCCAGCAGCCGCGGUAAGACGGAGGGUGCAAGCGUUGUUCGGAAUCACUGGGCGUAAAGCGCGUGUAGGCGGUUCGAUUAGUCGAGUGGGAAAGCCCGAGGCUCAACUUCGGAAGCGCAUUCGAAACUGUCGGGCUUGAGUACGGGAGAGGGAAGUGGAAUUCCUGGUGUAGAGGUGAAAUUCGUAGAUAUCAGGAGGAACACCGGUGGCGAAGGCGGCUUCCUGGACCGAUACUGACGCUGAGACGCGAAAGCGUGGGGAGCAAACAGGAUUAGAUACCCCAGUAGUCC
This 467-nucleotide ribosomal RNA is filed under the name uncultured Desulfomonile sp. Its description in RNAcentral is "bacterial SSU rRNA". It matches the Rfam family "Bacterial small subunit ribosomal RNA", at positions 338 to 796 of the family's 1533-position model. The record is from RNAcentral. Lineage: Bacteria; Pseudomonadati; Thermodesulfobacteriota; Desulfomonilia; Desulfomonilales; Desulfomonilaceae.